ACUGAUGGGGAAUUAGGCCUGAGCCUCCAGAGAUGCUGGCCCUCCAGGUUCCAGGCUGUGGUGUUGCCAUUUACUCUGGAUCGCAGAACCCCCUCCUUCCUCUGUCAACGGAUAUUGGUAAGGAACCUGUGCACUCAAGACUCAGGAAAUGCAAGGCCACAUGAUGAGACAGUCUUUUUCUCUGGGACAUCACACUGCUGUAUGUGGUGGAAUGCCAGAGCAGGCGCCUAACAGCGCAGUCACCAGACAGAGGGGCAGGGCAUCAGGGUGCUUUGCACAGUGUUUGGUUCACAUGGUGGGCACACUGUCCCUGUACCUUUUGCUCUGUUCUCACCACAACUACCAGAGCUAGAUCCUUCUGAUGUUAUAUCUCCUCAUCUCCCUUACAUCCUGACCACUGUUAACUAGAUCAAACUCCAUGACUACCUCCCAUUGUUCCCCUUCCAUUCUUACAUGCUUUCCCACCACUUGUGAGAGAAAGCCUCAAAUCUGUGGACUAGUGUUCAGUGCCCUUCACCUGCUAACUCCUCUGCAGUCUCCAACCCCCACUGCAGACGUGUGUGUGUGUGUGUGCGUGCAUGCACACACAUGUGCACACUACACACAAAGGGAGCUUCUGCUUUGGUCCGGCUAUUUCCCCACAACUCCCCCAAGAAAUUAUGAACUUCCCACCUUCGGUAACCCCUGCCAUUCCUCUGAGGCUUCUGAGCCACCAGCUUGAGCCAUAGGCCUUGUAUGGAGCUUUUGUCACCACAGGCCCACUCUGACCUUCCCUCCUCAGAGCUCCUACGACCAUCACUACUCAUGAGGAGCCUGCUUUGGAGCAUGGUGCACUGAAGAAGGCAGCAGUAAAUUGAGGUGGAAAUGCCCAACAGACAGAUCAGAUGGUGGAUUAGGGCUAAACUGGUGUAGGGGUGGGGCCCACAGCACCAAGGUACUGUGGGUAGUAGGAAUGCAGAGAAAUAGGAGCAGAGGGACAAGGACUGAAUUCUAUAGCUAUGGCUUAUUCAAGGCAAAGAGGAGAAGUUUGGGUAGGAAGAGA
Molecule: long non-coding RNA, 1042 nt
Organism: Phyllostomus discolor (pale spear-nosed bat)
Lineage: Eukaryota; Metazoa; Chordata; Mammalia; Chiroptera; Phyllostomidae
Exons: 2
Source: RefSeq, a predicted model, not a curated record